This 421-nucleotide ribosomal RNA is filed under the name uncultured bacterium. Its description in RNAcentral is "bacterial SSU rRNA". It matches the Rfam family "Bacterial small subunit ribosomal RNA", at positions 356 to 774 of the family's 1533-position model. The record is from RNAcentral.
GAGGAAUAUUGGUCAAUGGACGAGAGUCUGAACCAGCCAAAUCGCGUGAAGGAAGACUGCCCUACGGGUUGUAAACUUCUUUUGUACAGGAAUAAAAGACAUUACGUGUAAUGUAUUGCAUGUACUGUACGAAUAAGCAUCGGCUAACUCCGUGCCAGCAGCCGCGGUAAUACGGAGGAUGCGAGCGUUAUCCGGAUUUAUUGGGUUUAAAGGGUGCGCAGGCGGGAUUUUAAGUCAGCGGUGAAAUUUUCAGGCUCAACCUGAACACUGCCGUUGAAACUGGGAUUCUUGAGUAUGGAUGAAGUAGGCGGAAUUCGUUGCGUAGCGGUGACAUGCUUAGAUAUAACGAGGAACUCCGAUUGCGUAGGCAGCUUACUAGGCCAUAACUGACGCUCAAGCACGAAAGCGUGGGGAUCAAACA